AUACUUACCUGGCACAGGAGAUACCGUGUUUCAUGAAGGCGGUUCUCCCAAGGCGAGGCUCACCAUUUUCACUCCGGUGGCGCUGACCCUUGCCCAUUAACCCCCAAAAGUGGUUAACCCCGAGUGCGCAAUUUUUGUUAGUGGGGGGCUGCGUUCGCGCUAUCCCCCU
Small nuclear RNA from Penaeus monodon (black tiger shrimp), 169 nucleotides. RefSeq annotates it as U1 spliceosomal RNA. The record is from RefSeq and is a predicted model, not a curated record. NCBI's taxonomy places the organism in Eukaryota, Metazoa, Arthropoda, Malacostraca, Decapoda, Penaeidae. The transcript has a single exon.